AGGGAAGCGCUCUCAGCAGAGAGGGUCGCCCUCACCAAGAAGCCAAAGGGAAGAGGACAGAAUCUAUCUUGUAGGGACGCCCUUGGUCUUCAGAAGGAACACUUUUUCUGUUUCACAGAGAUCUGUGGAAUGUGUGGGUUCCCUGAAGAGGUGGACGGACCCCCGGGGUCGCGCGUUUUCUCAGCCCUGGGCCCGUAGCGGAGCUCGAUCCUUCCAGAGCUCAGGGCCAGAAAUGUUGCGAUUCCGAACACUUUGCCUUUCUUCUGAGAGGAGCCGCCCGGCAGACGCUCAUCAUUAAGAAGCAACGUAAUUAACAACGAAUGUUUCCCCUUGGCGCUAAUGCGAACACCCUGGGGAACUGCCAAGUCUGCCUGUAUCCUGACCAUCCUUGCCCCCGACUCCUCUCCCAGCAGCUGAGUGGCUUUUUGGACUGGGUUCUUUUUCCGAACUGCCAGCACCAACUUCCGUGCGUCUUACCUGUGCUUCAGCCGAAGUUUAACCCCUCCUGACCACGCUGCUUUCCUGUGCUGGGGGCCAGAGGUGAGGUGUUCUGGGCUGACGAAGUUAGAGGCACCAGUAUCUGCAUGGCCUGGGUCUGUGCACACAUCUCUGUCAACAAUAGGAAAAGAAGAAGCUGAGCAUGAUGGUGUUCAUGGACAGGAGCACAAAUGAAUCUUAAAAACCGAAAAAGCACAUGAAAACGAACCCCGGAGCCAGAGCAAAGCAGCACAGCUAAGUGCAGGGUUCUAAGCCUGCACCUAACAAAGUUCUCUGCCCUACGAAGGCGAAUCCACUACUGAGUGUCGUGUCUUCCUUUUUUAUCCAUGUUCCUCUGAAGCAAUAAAGCAUUAUUUCCCAAUCUCAGAAAACCCAGAUUUUCUAAGCAAAAAGGAAGAAAGUUAUAUUAACUGUUAUAAAGACAAACUCCCCUGUAAUUUGGUUUUGGUAAUAAGGGAAAAACUGGAUUCACUGAAGCAAACUGUCAAACGAGGUGGUUUGAAACCAAGCCUCUGCCACCUCACUUCUCAAGUUCUCUUUAAGGAGCGGGAUCUCCAAGUGUAACAGGCCUUGCUCUGUUCAGUGGGUGGCAGCUCAGAAGCACAUGCCAACUCUUGAGCUUGAGCUAUUUCAGAUUGUUUAGAUUCCACUGCACUGGGAGGCAA
This 1163-nucleotide long non-coding RNA is filed under the name Homo sapiens (human). RNAcentral's name for it is "SHROOM3 antisense RNA 1". The record is from RNAcentral. Lineage: Eukaryota; Metazoa; Chordata; Mammalia; Primates; Hominidae.